GGGCCAGAGUUGAGUACAGAUAUAAUGAACGUGAACGUCCAAAGCACCAGCAGUGACUAUCAAUUUCUCUCCAGCGAUAGCUUCCGUGUUGGAUCCAAAGAUCAUCCCUUCGGUGACAUUAUCCAUGAUAUCUGGAUUACCAGCUUUACCAAUACCGACAAUUAUACCAUUCUUGACACCGAUAUCGGCCUGAUUAAUCAUAUGAUCAGUACACCUGGAGGAAAAUCGUGGAAGGCGGUUUAGUAUAUACCUUAUAGAUACCACUCCAAUCAACGAUCAAGGCGUUUGUAAUGACCAGAUCCAAUACUUCUUCAUCUGAUCUGUUUGAUGCUUGACCUUGUCC
Molecule: small RNA, 343 nt
Filed under: Kwoniella mangroviensis CBS 10435
Lineage: Eukaryota; Fungi; Basidiomycota; Tremellomycetes; Tremellales; Cryptococcaceae
Description: 5' ureB small RNA
Rfam family: 5' ureB small RNA
Source: Rfam by way of RNAcentral